This 501-nucleotide ribosomal RNA is filed under the name uncultured Pseudomonadales bacterium. Its description in RNAcentral is "bacterial SSU rRNA". It matches the Rfam family "Bacterial small subunit ribosomal RNA", at positions 30 to 523 of the family's 1533-position model. The record is from RNAcentral. Lineage: Bacteria; Pseudomonadati; Pseudomonadota; Gammaproteobacteria; Pseudomonadales.
AUUGAACGCUGGCGGCAGGCUUAACACAUGCAAGUCGAGCGGAGAUGAGGUGCUUGCACCUUAUCUUAGCGGCGGACGGGUGAGUAAUGCUUAGGAAUCUGCCUAUUAGUGGGGGACAACAUUCCGAAAGGAAUGCUAAUACCGCAUACGUCCUACGGGAGAAAGCAGGGGAUCUUCGGACCUUGCGCUAAUAGAUGAGCCUAAGUCGGAUUAGCUAGUUGGUGGGGUAAAGGCCUACCAAGGCGACGAUCUGUAGCGGGUCUGAGAGGAUGAUCCGCCACACUGGGACUGAGACACGGCCCAGACUCCUACGGGAGGCAGCAGUGGGGAAUAUUGGACAAUGGGGGGAACCCUGAUCCAGCCAUGCCGCGUGUGUGAAGAAGGCCUUAUGGUUGUAAAGCACUUUAAGCGAGGAGGAGGCUACUGAGACUAAUACUCUUGGAUAGUGGACGUUACCCGCAGAAUAAGCACCGGCUAACUCUGUGCCAGCAGCCGCGGUAA